AAGGAAGCGAAAUCUGCCGGUGAAACGUGUGAAUCUACGAGAAAUUAGCGAUUUCUAAUUAAUUGUUCCUUACUUUCUUGUUAAAAGUUCAUUCUACAUCGUUCCCAGAGGAAGUUGUGAGUGAUCCAGUAUGCCGCAAGCGAGGCGCAAGACCCCGUUCAGCGGGAAAGCGAAGAAACAGCAACUGCAACAGAAAAAACAGAAUAAAACACUCCUUCUGUCGUCGACGGGCGGCACGACAGGCGACUAUGACGUGACGGCAAUGAACUACCAGCCCCGCAGUCGUGGCCGCGGCGACGUCAACAGAUACGCCCUGAAGUUCUACAGGGAGACCGAUGAAGAGCUGAAGUUGAAGAAGGAGGAAGCUCUGAAAGCCCUGAACCCGGUGUCCGAAGAAGCCAUGGAGGUGGACGUGUCGGCGAUGUUCCCUAGCGAGCUCUCCUUCCCCAAACGGCCGCCGUGGGACUUCAGCAUGACCGCCGCGCAGCUGGAUGCGCAGGAGCAUAAGUAUUUUACGGAAUAUGUGCAAGCCCUCCAGUCGUCGCCGCACUGGCAGGACAUGUCGUACUGGGAACUGAACUUGGAGACAUGGCGGCAGCUGUGGCGCGUGCUGGAGAUGUGCGACAUAGCACUGCUGGUGGUCGACGUGAGAUACGCUGGUAUGAUGUUCCCUCCGUCCCUCUACGAGUAUGUGGUUGUAGACCAGAAGAAGGACAUGAUCUUGGUGCUUAACAAGAUAGACCUGGUGCCAGCGGCGGUGGUGGCUGCCUGGAAGCAGUAUCUCACUGACAGAUGUCCCGGGUUGCGGGUGGUGUAUCUCACAUCCUGUCCUGGGUAUAACCUCGCGCACAGUUCCGGAGACCAAGGUCUGGUCGUCCGUCGUCGUAAGGGCAAACAGCGCAUGUGCGUGGAAGGAGCCACCAAGAUAUUGGAAGCUUGCAAGGACAUCGUCAGAGGGGGGGUGGAUCUCUCUUCGUGGGAGAAGAAGAUUAAAGAAGAGAGCCAGGUGGAGUUCGAUGAGGAUGAAGCUACUGAAGUUGGUGAAACGAUCCUCGAGAAAGCAGACACGACAUUCUAUCAGCACGAGAAAUACAAGAACGGCAUUCUUACCAUAGGAUGCGUUGGCCAGCCCAACGUUGGGAAGUCAUCCCUACUGAACGCCAUCAUGGGCAAGAAAGUGGUGUCUGUGUCCAAAACACCAGGACACACGAAGCACUUCCAGACCAUAUUCUUGACGCCACAGGUCCGCCUGUGCGACUGCCCUGGGCUGGUGUUCCCGUCGAAGGUGCCUCGGCCCAUACAGAUCCUCAUGGGGUCGUAUCCUAUCGCUCAGCUACGGGAACCGUAUACCACUAUCAGAUAUAUAGCAGAGCGUAUAAACCUUCCCAAACUCCUGAAGAUAGACCACCCUGAGAACGACGACACCUGGUCUCCGCGAGACAUUUGUGACGGCUGGGCCAAGAAGAGGGGAUACCUCACUGCUAAGGCUGCUAGGUUGGAUACAUACCGAGCUGCGAACAGUCUACUCCGGAUGGCGCUGGAUGGCAAGAUCUGUCUGUGGCUGCGGCCACCAGGCUUCACUGCUAACAGAGUAAAAUUCGAAUCCUGCGCAGAAAUAAAGGACAUCAAAUGGGUGCAAGCUCUAAAAUCGACUAAGGACGACGUCGUCAUCAGUUCAGAUUCUGAUGAAGAAUCCGAUGAAGAAGAAUCUGAUGAAGAUAGUGAAGAAAACGGUGAAGAACUAGCGGCUAUGGCAAAUAAGUUCGCGGCUUUGGUUGGCGAUGACUAGAGUGUAAGCUAGGUGUCCUAUUGUUUUAGCCUUUUCAGGGUGUCUCAUAUCCCUACUUUGAACGCGGUAAGAACCCGUUAUUAUACGUAUUUUAAUUACGAUAAUAACCGCGUAAACUUAAAACAAUAUAGGUUUUUUGUUUAGGGGCCGUCUGCGAGCCUCGAGAGGGGGGUAGGGGUCCAUGAAAAAAUUACGAAAUAUCAUAAGGGCUGAGGGGGGGUGUAGUGUAGUAAUAUAUCACGAGUAUUUAUUUGUUUCGGCAAACGCGAUACUGAACCGGAAAGCGGCGUUUCGUGCAAUUAUAUUUUCGUCAAACGCGUACAAAAAUAUAUUGUCAAAGGAGAAUUUAUGAAGUGGGCGAAUGAUCUUUUACUAAAAAAUACACGUGAUUUGGGGUAGGGGGGUAGUCUUGAACCUCACCAUGUAUCACCAGGGCUUGGUUAAAAAUGAGGAAAAAAAACAUAAUACACACAUAAACUGCCUAUAUACGUCCCACUGCUGGGCACAGGCCUCCCCUCAAUCAACCGGAGGGGGUAUGGAGCAUACUCCACCACGCUGCUCCACUGCGGGUUGGUGGAGGUGUUUUUACGGCUAAUAGCCGGGACCAACGGCUUAACGUGCCCUCCGAAGCACGGAAUCAUCUUACUUUUUCGGACAAUCAGGUGAUUCAAGCCUGAAAAGUCCUUACCAAACAAAGGACAGUCUCACAAAGUGAUUUCGACAAUGUCCCCAUCGGGAAUCGAACCCGGACCUCCAGAUCGUGAGCCUAACGCUCUAACCACUAGACCACGGAG
RNAcentral lists this unclassified non-coding RNA (2583 nucleotides) under Pectinophora gossypiella (pink bollworm). RNAcentral's name for it is "guanine nucleotide-binding protein-like 1". Lineage: Eukaryota; Metazoa; Arthropoda; Insecta; Lepidoptera; Gelechiidae. The record is from RNAcentral.